Molecule: long non-coding RNA, 497 nt
Organism: Cyprinodon tularosa
Lineage: Eukaryota; Metazoa; Chordata; Actinopteri; Cyprinodontiformes; Cyprinodontidae
Exons: 2
Source: RefSeq, a predicted model, not a curated record
UUCUGUAACUUCCAGUGAUUUUCUUCCACUUCUUACCUUCUGCUUUCACAGCUACAGCUUCUGUUGAAGAUCCUCCAUCUGACACAGAGAGAGAAACAGGAACACAGAGGGAUUAUUGCUGGGAAGGUUUUAAUUCCCUCAUAAUGAGAAAACAACAGUCAGCUGAUGCAUCAAAGGCUUCCCAUCUAACCAGUUAAUGUGGGUUUGGACCAAUGUUCUGCUGGAAUUCCUGCUUCUGGUCGGGUUUUAACCACAUCACUGCUGAUUCCAGGGGGAAAUUGCAGCAGCAGGACUAGCAGUGAGACGUCCCCACAGCAUGAUGCCAACACCACCAUGUUUAAUUCAGUGAUGCAUCUGACUAAAAAGCUUUCCAGCUCUGGCAUGCAGCUCUUUGGACCCUACAAUGGCUCUUAAUAGUGUCUGAACGAUGAAAACAACCAACUAAUGGCUUGGAAUAAAGUCUAUUAAUAAAUAACAUUCUGAGGAGUUUUAAAGAA